This 116-nucleotide ribosomal RNA is filed under the name Meriones unguiculatus (Mongolian gerbil). Lineage: Eukaryota; Metazoa; Chordata; Mammalia; Rodentia; Muridae. The record is from RNAcentral.
GACUAUGGCCACACUAUCCUUAAUGUAUGUGAUCUUCUUCGAUCUCAGAAGGUAAGCAGGGUCGGGCCUGGUUAGUACUUGGGUAGGAGAAUAUAAAAACAAGAUGGUCAUUUUAA